UACAGAGGUCCCAAGCGUUGUUCGGAUUCACUGGGCGUAAAGGGUGCGUAGGCGGUCGGGUAAGUCUGACGUGAAAUCUCCAAGCCUAACUUGGAAACUGCGUUGGAUACUAUCCGGCUCGAGGAAUGGAGGGGAGACUGGAAUACUUGGUGUAGCAGUGAAAUGCGUAGAUAUCAAGUGGAACACCAGUGGCGAAGGCGGCGCUCUGGCUCGCAACUGACGCUCAGACACGACAGCAUGGGGAGCGAACGGG
This 253-nucleotide ribosomal RNA is filed under the name uncultured bacterium. RNAcentral's name for it is "partial 16S ribosomal RNA". It matches the Rfam family "Bacterial small subunit ribosomal RNA", at positions 524 to 776 of the family's 1533-position model. The record is from RNAcentral.